This 166-nucleotide ribosomal RNA is filed under the name uncultured bacterium. RNAcentral's name for it is "partial 16S ribosomal RNA". It matches the Rfam family "Bacterial small subunit ribosomal RNA", at positions 1327 to 1500 of the family's 1533-position model. The record is from RNAcentral.
UGGAUUCGCUAGUAAUCGCGCAUCAGCCAUGGCGCGGUGAAUACGUUCCCGGGCCUUGUACACACCGCCCGUCAAGCCAUGAAAGCCGGGGGCGCCUGAAGUCCGUGACCGCGAGGGUCGGCCUAGGGUGAAACCGGUGAUUGGGGCUAAGUCGUAACAAGGUACC